AGUCGAACGAUGAUAUCACUGCUUGCAGUGAUUGAUUAGCGGCGAACGGGUGAGUAACACGUGAGGAACUUGCCCAUGAGCGGGGGACAACAUUCGGAAACGGAUGCUAAUACCCCAUAGGUGGAUUGGUCGCAUGACGAAUUCAUUAAAGGUGGCUUUGCUACCACUCAUGGAUAGCCUCGCGGCGUAUUAGCUAGUUGGUAAGGUAAUGGCUUACCAAGGCAGUGAUACGUAGCCGACUUGAGAGGGUGAUCGGCCACACUGGGACUGAGACACGGCCCAGACUCCUACGGGAGGCAGCAGUAGGGAAUCUUCCACAAUGGGUGCAAACCUGAUGGAGCAAUGCCGCGUGAGUGAAGAAGGUCUUCGGAUCGUAAAGCUCUGUUGUUAGAGAAGAACACGUGCUAGGUAACUACUAGCGCCUUGACGGUAUCUAACCAGAAAGUCACGGCUAACUACGUGCCAGCAGCCGCGGUAAUACGUAGGUGACAAGCGUUGUCCGGAUUUAUUGGGCGUAAAGGGAGCGCAGGCGGUCUGUUUAGUCUAAUGUGAAAGCCCACGGCUUAACCGUGGAACGGCAUUGGAAACUGACAGACUUGAAUGUAGAAGAGGAAAAUGGAAUUCCAAGUGUAGCGGUGGAAUGCGUAGAUAUUUGGAGGAACACCAGUGGCGAAGGCGAUUUUCUGGUCUAACAUUGACGCCGAGGCUCGAAAGCGUGGGGAGCGAACA
This 729-nucleotide ribosomal RNA is filed under the name uncultured Carnobacteriaceae bacterium. RNAcentral's name for it is "bacterial SSU rRNA". It matches the Rfam family "Bacterial small subunit ribosomal RNA", at positions 60 to 774 of the family's 1533-position model. Lineage: Bacteria; Bacillati; Bacillota; Bacilli; Lactobacillales; Carnobacteriaceae. The record is from RNAcentral.